This 31-nucleotide non-coding RNA is filed under the name Homo sapiens (human). The record is from RNAcentral. Lineage: Eukaryota; Metazoa; Chordata; Mammalia; Primates; Hominidae.
UCCUGAUGCAGUCCUCUCCAGGGAGGGCCUC